GAGCUGGAGAAGAGACUCAGCGCUUUCUCUCUAAAAAGUGCCAUGCUGUAGGAGGUGCUGCUGGGAUUCAAAGAGAUGCUGCAACGGCAGCUGAGGAGCGACACAGGCUACAGAAUAACGUCCACGUUUUGCUCCAGAUC
Molecule: long non-coding RNA, 140 nt
Organism: Gopherus evgoodei (Goodes thornscrub tortoise)
Lineage: Eukaryota; Metazoa; Chordata; Testudines; Testudinidae
Exons: 3
Source: RefSeq, a predicted model, not a curated record